Molecule: ribosomal RNA, 460 nt
Filed under: uncultured bacterium
Lineage: Bacteria
Description: partial 16S ribosomal RNA
Rfam family: Bacterial small subunit ribosomal RNA
Source: RNAcentral
CCUACGGGAGGCAGCAGUGAGGAAUAUUGGUCAAUGGACGAGAGUCUGAACCAGCCAAGUAGCGUGAAGGAUGACUGCCCUAUGGGUUGUAAACUUCUUUUAUAAAGGAAUAAAACGAGGCACGUGUGCCUUUUUGCAUGUACUUUAUGAAUAAGGAUCGGCUAACUCCGUGCCAGCAGCCGCGGUAAUACGGAGGAUCCGAGCGUUAUCCGGAUUUCUUGGGUUUAAAGGGCGCGUAGAUGGGUUGUUAAGUCAGUUGUGAAAGUUUGCGGCUCAACCGUAAAAUUGCAAUUGAUACUGGCAGUCUUGAGUACAGUUGAGGUAAGCGGAAUUCGUGGUGUAGCGGUGAAAUGCUUAGAUAUCACGAAGAACCCCGAUUGCGAAGGCAGCUUACUAAACUGUGACUGACAUUGAUGCUCGAAAGUGUGGGUAUCAAACAGGAUUAGAUACCCCUGUAGUC